This 380-nucleotide ribosomal RNA is filed under the name uncultured eukaryote. Its description in RNAcentral is "SSU rRNA". It matches the Rfam family "Eukaryotic small subunit ribosomal RNA", at positions 587 to 972 of the family's 1831-position model. The record is from RNAcentral.
AGCUCCAAUAGCGUAUAUUUAAGUUGUUGCAGUUAAAAAGCUCGUAGUUGGAUUUUGGGUUGGGGCGGCCGGUCCGCCUCACGGUGUGCACCGGCCGACCCAUCCUUCUUGCCGGGGACGCGCUCCUGGCCUUAACUGGUCGGGACGUGGAGUCGGCGAUGUUACUUUGAAAAAAUUAGAGUGUUCAAAGCAGGCCUACGCUCUGAAUACAUUAGCAUGGAAUAACGUGAUAGGACUCUGGUCCUAUUGUGUUGGUCUUCGGGACCGGAGUAAUGAUUAAUAGGGACAGUUGGGGAUAUUCGUAUUUCAUUGUCAGAGGUGAAAUUCUUGGAUUUAUGAAAGACGAACUUCUGCGAAAGCAUUUAUCAAGGAUGUUUUCA